GAUGAACGCUGGCGGCGUGCCUAAUACAUGCAAGUCGAGCGAACAGAUGAGGAGCUUGCUCCUCUGACGUUAGCGGCGGACGGGUGAGUAACACGUGGAUAACCUACCUAUAAGACUGGGAUAACUUCGGGAAACCGGAGCUAAUACCGGAUAAUAUAUUGAACCGCAUGGUUCAAUAGUGAAAGACGGUUUUGCUGUCACUUAUAGAUGGAUCCGCGCCGCAUUAGCUAGUUGGUAAGGUAACGGCUUACCAAGGCAACGAUGCGUAGCCGACCUGAGAGGGUGAUCGGCCACACUGGAACUGAGACACGGUCCAGACUCCUACGGGAGGCAGCAGUAGGGAAUCUUCCGGAAUGGGCGAAAGCCUGACGGAGCCACGGCGCGGGAGUGAUGAAGGUCUUCGGAUCGUAAAACUCUGUUAUUAGGGAAGAACAAAUGUGGAAGUAACUAUGCACGUCUUGACGGUACCUAAUCAGAAAGCCACGGCUAACUACGUG
This 497-nucleotide ribosomal RNA is filed under the name uncultured bacterium. RNAcentral describes it as "partial 16S ribosomal RNA". It matches the Rfam family "Bacterial small subunit ribosomal RNA", at positions 28 to 507 of the family's 1533-position model. The record is from RNAcentral.